Molecule: ribosomal RNA, 319 nt
Filed under: uncultured bacterium
Lineage: Bacteria
Description: bacterial SSU rRNA
Rfam family: Bacterial small subunit ribosomal RNA
Source: RNAcentral
GAUGAACGCUAGCGACAGGCCUAACACAUGCAAGUCGAGGGGCAACGGGGAUGUUAGCUUGCUAAUAUCUGCCGGCGACCGGCGCACGGGUGAGUAACGCGUAUGCGACCUGCCCGUCACAGGGGGAUAAUCCGGAGAAAUCCGGUCUAAUACCGCAUAAUAUCGUGAGUCUGCAUGGAUUUACGAUUAAAGGAGUGAUCCGGUGACGGAUGGGCAUGCGUGACAUUAGCUAGUCGGCGGGGUAACGGCCCACCGAGGCGACGAUGUCUAGGGGUUCUGAGAGGAAGGUCCGCCACACUGGUACUGAGACACGGACCAG